UACGUAGGUACCGAGCGUUAUCCGGAUUUACUGGGCGUAAAGCGUGUUCAGGCGGUUUGGCAAGUCGGGCAUGAAAUCCCUCGGCUCAACCGGGGGAGGUUGUCCGAUACUGCUGAACUGGAGGGCAGUAGAGGGUGGUGGAAUUCCGGGUGUAGUGGUGAAAUGCGUAGAGAUCCGGAGGAACACCAGUGGCGAAAGCGGCCACCUGGACUGCACCUGACGCUCAAACACGAAAGCUAGGGGAGCGAACGGG
This 253-nucleotide ribosomal RNA is filed under the name uncultured bacterium. RNAcentral's name for it is "partial 16S ribosomal RNA". It matches the Rfam family "Bacterial small subunit ribosomal RNA", at positions 524 to 776 of the family's 1533-position model. The record is from RNAcentral.